This is an RNA transcript of Zingiber officinale, 1396 nucleotides long. It is a transcript of the gene named protein phosphatase inhibitor 2-like, with no coding region annotated. The transcript is spliced from 7 exons. The record is from RefSeq and is a predicted model, not a curated record. NCBI's taxonomy places the organism in Eukaryota, Viridiplantae, Streptophyta, Magnoliopsida, Zingiberales, Zingiberaceae.
UGGAUUUGGUCGAAUAAAAGGAUGAAAUGACCGCUGUGCCCCCUCGCCAUGUCCUGUGGUUCACUGCCUCGCCCGCACCACCACCACCUCCACCUCCGUCCGCGCAUCUCCUCCCCCCUCUCGCCAUCGCUUGCCGGUUGUUUCAAUAUAAAUUGAUUUUUCUGGUUGGUUACAAGAAUCAAAAUUCAGAGAAUGAGAAAGGGUAGGGUUAGAUGGAAUCAAGAAAACUUGGAUGACAUUGAAGCAAAUAAACCAGUGAGGCAAAAAAUUACUGAACCCAAGACACCUUUCCACCAUAUGAUUGAUGACGAUGGUUCUCUUUCACCAAAACGAGCCUUUGAUGAAUGCAUGGAUAAUUCUGCCCACGCAGAAGCUCUCACUACUGCUUUGAAUGAUGUAGCUUCUUCAAGCAGAAGCUCAAAUGGGGAUUGGACCUCUUCUGAAGAAGAAACUGAUGCCAUGGAAGAAGAUGAUGAUUCUGAAGCAGAUGCUCCAAGGCUAAGUUUCAACGACCACCGGAAAGCUCACUAUGACGAAUUCCAUAAGGUCAAAGAACUCUUGAGAGCAGGAUCUUUCGCACAGGAUGAUGAAGACGCUGGUGAAGCUAAUGGUAGCCUGGACAAUGACAACGAGAGAGACCAUUCAACUUCUAGCCAACACACCCCCCCAAAUUCCAUGCCAAACAAACACGCCUAAUGGAUUAUGGAUGCUGCUCCCCCUGAAAAUAAUUGCAUACUGCCAGGAAGCAACUUGUCCAUGACGUCAUGGCAAACAGAUGCAGUCAAAAACAGGACAAUCAAUCCCAAAGGCCGAGGCAAGUCUGCCAAAGUGAAAUCCCCUCCUGAUCAUCCAUCAUUCAAAGAUGGAUUUCAUCAACCAACCCUAACCCUCAGAGAGGAGCAAUGAAAGAAAGAUGGUGUUUGUGAUGUGUGCUCUGGUUCCGAGAAGGAUGUGUUGUUGGGGUAAAGGGAGGCAGUGGGGAUCCUCUUUGUGGAUUCUUUUGGAUCCUCCAUGAUCUCUGUUCCUCCCAUCUGUUGUUAUCUUGUCUGCUGCAGAAUCCUUGAGUCAGUGGUCAGAGGAUCUACUCCGUGGUCACGCAGAUGGUGCAGAGGGUCGUGACUGUUCCUUUGUUGGGGGAAACAUGAUCAAAAGCAAACGUUAGUAGAAGUGUACUGAACAAGGUGAGUAUUGCACCUGAUAUCUAUCUGUUCAGUUUUGUGCCCAUUGGGUUAGGCCUCUCUCUCUCUCUCUCUCUGCUGGUCUCACUGUGUGUGGGUCCCGAAUGACCUGACCUGACCGUUCGACGACGAUUGGGAUCAGAUUAACACAUUGACUGCCUUAGCUAAGUUCAAAUUGAACCUAACCAAUUUAGUUCAGAUUUUCUUUUCCACCAAAG